AAGCAGUGAAAGGAUAUUGGUCAAUAGCCUAACCGGCUGAACCAGCAACUUGGAGGAAUGUAUAGGGAAAACUGGUAAAAUGUGAUGUACCUAAUAAUAUUAGUGAUUAAUAUGAAAUUAACUAAGUUAAUUAAAAUUCAAAGUAGAUAUAUGAUUAUGACAAUAUUUGCUUAUUUCUUGACCAAGUCACGUGCCAGCAGUCGCGGUAAUACGUGGUAGAUCAGUGUUAUUCAUCUUUAGUAGGUUUAAAGGGUACCUAGACGGUUAAUUAAGCAUAUUUGUGUACUAAUUAUUAACUAGAGUUUAAUGUAAGAAGGAUUGAGUACGGUGAGUGUAGAGAUAAAAUUCUGUCAUACCACUUAGGAACUGGUAAAGGCGAAGGCAACCUUUUAUGUAAAAACUGACGUUAAGGGACGAAGGCUCGUAUUAAGUAAUAGGAUUAGAGACCCUAGUAUUGUGGGCAGACAAUGAUGAGUGUCAUAUGCAAGAAACUUUUUGUGUAUAAAUGAAAGUGUAAGCACUCCACCUCAAGAGUAACGUGGCAACAUGGGAACUGAAAUCAUUAGACCGUUUCUGAAACUCGUAGUGAAGUAUGUUGUUUAAUUUGAUAAUCCUCAAAUAACCUUACCACAAUUUGAAUUACUGGUGAAUAGUAACUAGUAACAAGCGUUGCACGGCUGUCUUCAGUUAAUGUUGUGAAACUUUGGUUAGAUCCAUUAAAUUGACGUAAACCCUUGCUUUAUUUGUUUUAAAGCAGUUCGCCGCUAUAUUGGUAGUGAUAUAAGGGACUAAGACAAGUCAUCAUGACCCGAAGAUUGUGGGCUAUAGCGUUGCCACAU
RNAcentral lists this ribosomal RNA (839 nucleotides) under Phaeographis sp. RL-2012b. Its description in RNAcentral is "SSU rRNA". It matches the Rfam family "Bacterial small subunit ribosomal RNA", at positions 349 to 1230 of the family's 1533-position model. The record is from RNAcentral. Lineage: Eukaryota; Fungi; Ascomycota; Lecanoromycetes; Ostropales; Graphidaceae.